This 507-nucleotide ribosomal RNA is filed under the name Triatoma infestans. RNAcentral describes it as "partial 16S ribosomal RNA". It matches the Rfam family "Bacterial large subunit ribosomal RNA", at positions 1829 to 2597 of the family's 2925-position model. The record is from RNAcentral. Lineage: Eukaryota; Metazoa; Arthropoda; Insecta; Hemiptera; Reduviidae.
GUCCUUUUGUUUAUUUAUUUAAGGUCUGACCUGCCCAAUGAGGAAUUGAAUGGCCGCAGUAUUUUAACUGUGCUAAGGUAGCAUAAUCAUUUGUCUUUUAAUUGAGGGCUGGAAUGAAGGGUUGGACGAGGUAUUAACUUUCUUUGAUUUAAUGAGGAGAAUUUAAUUUUUGAGUUAAAAAGCUUAAAUUUAUUUGUGGGACGAGAAGACCCUAUAGAUCUUUAUAGUUUUAUAUUUUAAUAAUUUGGUGAUUUAUUUGUUUUAAGUAGAUGAACUAUUUUGUUGGGGUGACUGUAGAAUUUAAAUAACUUCUAUUAUUUUAUUUCAUUAAUUAAUGUUUUUGUGAUCCAUAUUUUAUGAUUAUAAGAUUAAGUUACCUUAGGGAUAACAGCGUAAUUUCCUCGGAGAGUUCAUAUUGAUGGGGGAGUUUGCGACCUCGAUGUUGGAUUAAAAUAAGUUAUGGAUGCAGGAGUCUAUUUACUAGGUCUGUUCGUCCUUUAAAUUUUU